GUGGGGAAUCUUAGACAAUGGGGGAAACCCUGAUCUAGCCAUGCCGCGUGAGCGAUGAAGGCCUUAGGGUUGUAAAGCUCUUUCAGCUGGGAAGAUAAUGACGGUACCAGCAGAAGAAGCCCCGGCUAACUCCGUGCCAGCAGCCGCGGUAAUACGGAGGGGGCUAGCGUUGUUCGGAAUUACUGGGCGUAAAGCGCGCGUAGGCGGACCAGAAAGUUGGAGGUGCAAUCCCAGGGCUCAACCUUGGAACUGCCUUCAAAACUCCUGGUCUGGAGUUCGAGAGAGGUGAGUGGAAUUCCGAGUGUAGAGGUGAAAUUCGUAGAUAUUCGGAGGAACACCAGUGGCGAAGGCGGCUCACUGGCUCGAUACUGACGCUGAGGUGCGAAAGCGUGGGGAGCAAACAGGAUUAGAAACCCGGUAGUCC
RNAcentral lists this ribosomal RNA (424 nucleotides) under uncultured bacterium. RNAcentral's name for it is "partial 16S ribosomal RNA". It matches the Rfam family "Bacterial small subunit ribosomal RNA", at positions 354 to 796 of the family's 1533-position model. The record is from RNAcentral.